UACAGAGGGUGCGAGCGUUAAUCGGAAUUACUGGGCGUAAAGCGCACGUAGGUGGCGACGUAAGUCGGAUGUGAAAACCCAGGGCUCAACCCUGGGCCUGCAUUCGAUACGGGCAGACUAGAGUUCGGUAGGGGAGACUGGAAUUCCUGGUGUAGCGGUGAAAUGCGCAGAUAUCAGGAGGAACACCGGUGGCGAAGGCGGGUCUCUGGGCCGAAACUGACGCUGAGGAGCGAAAGCGUGGGGAGCAAACAGG
Molecule: ribosomal RNA, 253 nt
Filed under: uncultured bacterium
Lineage: Bacteria
Description: partial 16S ribosomal RNA
Rfam family: Bacterial small subunit ribosomal RNA
Source: RNAcentral